RNAcentral lists this ribosomal RNA (253 nucleotides) under uncultured bacterium. RNAcentral's name for it is "partial 16S ribosomal RNA". It matches the Rfam family "Bacterial small subunit ribosomal RNA", at positions 524 to 776 of the family's 1533-position model. The record is from RNAcentral.
UACAGAGACUGCAAGCGUUAUUCGGAUUCACUGGGCGUAAAGGGUGCGCAGGCGGCCGUGUGUGUCAGGUGUGAAAGCCCGAGGCUUAACCUCGGAAUUGCGCCUGAAACUACAUGGCUAGAGUACUGGAGAGGGUAGCGGAAUUCAUGGUGUAGCAGUGAAAUGCGUAGAUAUCAUGAGGAACACCAGAGGCGAAGGCGGCUACCUGGACAGUUACUGACGCUCAGGCACGAAAGCGUGGGGAGCAAAAGGG